RNAcentral lists this transfer RNA (71 nucleotides) under Tanygnathus lucionensis (blue-naped parrot). RNAcentral describes it as "tRNA-Val". The record is from RNAcentral. Lineage: Eukaryota; Metazoa; Chordata; Aves; Psittaciformes; Psittacidae.
CAAGGCGUAGCUACAACACAAGCAUUCAGCUUACACCUGAAAGAUAUCUACUACCUACCAGAUCGCCUUGA